Molecule: unclassified non-coding RNA, 1713 nt
Filed under: Hevea brasiliensis (rubber tree)
Lineage: Eukaryota; Viridiplantae; Streptophyta; Magnoliopsida; Malpighiales; Euphorbiaceae
Source: RNAcentral
UGGCAUUGCAAAAGAUAAAGAUGGCAUGGACAAUAACAAUAUCUAAAUGGCUCAUAAGAAAUGCGCCAAACAAAAUCAUCACUCUAAUAACACAAAAGGCAAGCAAAGAUGCUAAGUAGUCAACACGAUUGAGAAGAAAAACGAAAUAUAAACUAAAUUAUUAUAAUUUCUACAAUCGAUUGCAUCCGUUCCAUCUAUUGGCGCUCAAUCUGAAUGGUCACAUGACUAAUAUUGUAUUCUCUCCUAAUGUAGUCUAUGACCUUGUCUAGUACCAUGUCAGCAUCUGCUUCAGGCUUGAUCUUCACAUGACAAGCCAAUAAAACUUUCCCAACUGUUAUGGCCCAGAUGUGCAGCUCAUGAAUGGCAACCACCUCAUCCAUCUCACAAAGACCCUUCUCAAGCCUAGUGGCAUCAAUCUCUCUUGGUGUACUCUCCAUCAGAACCUCUAAAAUAUUCCGCAACAUCCUGAUUGUUGUGCCUAAUACAAUUACUGAGAAUACAAGUGUACAUAUCAGAUCAAUAAUCUUCCAUUUUGGUUUAUACCAAAUUAUUGCCCCGCCAAUCAUCACCCCAACACUCUGUAUGGAAUCCCCCAACACAUGAAGAUAAGCUCCUUGCACAUUGAUGUUCCGUUGUUUAUUCUGUUUAGGUCCAUCUUUCAUUUUAGCUUCACCUCCUGAGUAAGUCCUAAGCAGAGGCUCAGAUUGAUCUGAUUCUUGUGUAUGAUAAUGCUGAUCAUUGUCCUGUGAGCUUCCCAAAUGAUGAUGAUGAUGGUGUUGAUUUGUAGCUAUGCUUAUCCCAUGGCUAUGUCCAUGAACAUGAUCCUCAUGGCUGUGGCCAUGCUCAUCCACACCAUGUCCAUGGUGGUGACCAUGCUCAUGACCCAAUAAGAGUGCCAUGGCAAUAUUAACCACCAAACCAAAUGCAGAAACAACAAACAUAAGAAAGCCCUGAACUUCACCAGUAUCAUAGAUCAGUCUAGCAAUGGCUUCAUACACAAGGAUCCCGGCAAGAAGCCAUAUCAUCUGGAUGGAAAUCAGUGCACCAAGUAUUUCAAUCCUAAAAAAACCAUAAGACUGACGUGGGGUUGCCUCCCAUCCUGAUGCCCAAAGUGAAAACAAGGAGAUUGCAAAGGCUGCAACAUCUGAUAACAAAUGAGCUGCAUCUGUCAAGAUGGCAAGACUAUUGGCUUUGAUUCCUCCAACAACUUCUACGCUCAUGAAGACAAUACAAAGUACAACUGCCAUCAAAAGCUUCCGCAUCGAUGCUGACCGUUCUUUCGCAUCUUUAGAACUGGUUCCAGCAUCUGAAAAUCCACAUGCUGCUCCUCCACAAAUCUUACUCCCACCCAAAUUUAUUUCCGUAGUCGGUAGAUCUCCAUGGACCUCAAUCAUCUGUGCAGAUUCAUAAUUUUGCGCUUCCAUCUUGUGAAGAGGAUUAUGGCCGUUGAGUAAUGUUGUUGAAGAUGUUGAAGGAGAUUUAUACAGAAGAAUUGAAAAUAUUGGGGUAUGAAUCGUGACUAAUAUAUGGAAAGAGCCAACUAUUAACAAACCUCCAUCGGAUUUGUUUCCUCCUUUAGAAUGUAGAUGUUUUUCCGCUGGGAUUUCGACUCUUAUGCUCAAUUUUGAAUUUUGUUUUUAGUUAAUUAUUGUCAAUUAUAGGAUUCUCGCUUUUACGUUUCUACCCUUUCUCUUUUUUGUCGCCAGACGCAGA